CCUACGGGAGGCUGCAAUUAGGAAUCUUGCGCAAUGGGCGAAAGCCUGACGCAGCGACGCCGCGUGACUGAUGAAGUCUUUCGGGAUGUAAAGGUCUUUUCUGUGGGAAGAAGGAUGUGACGGUACCACAGGAAUAAGCCCCGGCUAACUACGUGCCAGCAGCCGCGGUAAUACGUAGGGGGCGAGCGUUGUCCGAAUUUACUGGGCGUAAAUCGCGCGUAGGCGGGUUAUUAAGUUGGUGGUGAAAUUCCGAGGCUCAACUUCGGAACUGCCGCCAAAACUGGUAGCCUUGAGGGAUGGAGAGGAAAGUGGAAUUCCUGGUGUAGCGGUGAAAUGCGUAGAUAUCAGGAGGAACACCCAUGGCGAAGGCAGCUUUCUGGCCAUAUCCUGACGCUGAGGUACGAAAGCCAGGGGAGCGAACG
This 422-nucleotide ribosomal RNA is filed under the name uncultured prokaryote. Its description in RNAcentral is "bacterial SSU rRNA". It matches the Rfam family "Bacterial small subunit ribosomal RNA", at positions 338 to 774 of the family's 1533-position model. The record is from RNAcentral.